UACGAAGGGUGCAAGCGUUAAUCGGAAUUACUGGGCGUAAAGCGUGCGUAGACGGCGCAUUAAGUCAGCUGUGAAACCCCCGGGCUCAACCUGGGACCUGCAGCUGAUACUGAUGUGCUUGGAGUUUGAGAGAGGGUGGUGGAAUUCCUGGUGUAGCGGUGAAAUGCGUAGAGAUCAGGAGGAACACUAGUGGCGAAGGCGGCCACCUGGCUUAAAACUGACGUUGAGGCACGAAAGCGUGGGGAGCGAGAGGG
This 254-nucleotide ribosomal RNA is filed under the name uncultured bacterium. RNAcentral describes it as "partial 16S ribosomal RNA". It matches the Rfam family "Bacterial small subunit ribosomal RNA", at positions 524 to 776 of the family's 1533-position model. The record is from RNAcentral.